Molecule: ribosomal RNA, 597 nt
Filed under: uncultured fungus
Lineage: Eukaryota; Fungi
Description: eukaryotic LSU rRNA
Rfam family: 5.8S ribosomal RNA (bases 232-385)
Source: RNAcentral
CUUGGUCAUUUAGAGGAAGUAAAAGUCGUAACAAGGUCUCCGUAGGUGAACCUGCGGAGGGAUCAUUAAUGAGAACUUGCCCUUACGGGUAGAUCUCCCCCCCUUUGUAUAUCAUACCUUUGUUGCUUUGUCGGGCCCGUCCCUCGGGACCGCCGGCUUCGGCUGGCCAGCGCCUGGCAGAGGAUUCAAACUCUUGUAUCACUGUCGUCAGAGUACUAUAUCAAUAGUUAAAACUUUCAACAACGGAUCUCUUGGUUCUGGCAUCGAUGAAGAACGCAGCGAAAUGCGAUAAGUAAUGUGAAUUGCAGAAUUCAGUGAAUCAUCGAAUCUUUGAACGCCCAUUGCGCCCCUUGGUAUUCCGGGGGGCAUGCCUGUUCGAGCGUCAUUACAACCCUCAAGCACAGCUUGGUAUUGGGCUUCGCCGCUAACCCGGCGGGCCUUAAAAUCAGUGGCGGUGCCGUCGAGGCCCUGAGCGUAGUAAAUAUCCUCGCUUCUGGGACCCGGCGGUCGCUUGCCAGCAACCCCCAACUUUCUAAGUUUGACCUCGGAUCAGGUAGGGAUACCCGCUGAACUUAAGCAUAUCAAUAAGCGGAGGAA